Molecule: unclassified non-coding RNA, 320 nt
Filed under: plant metagenome
Description: partial contains 5.8S ribosomal RNA, internal transcribed spacer 2, and large subunit ribosomal RNA
Rfam family: 5.8S ribosomal RNA (bases 1-105)
Source: RNAcentral
GAAAUGCGAUAAGUAAUGUGAAUUGCAGAAUUCAGUGAAUCAUCGAAUCUUUGAACGCACAUUGCGCCCGCCAGUAUUCUGGCGGGCAUGCCUGUUCGAGCGUCAUUACAACCCUCAGGCCCCCGGGCCUGGCGUUGGGGAUCGGCGGAAGCCCCCUGCGGGCACAACGCCGUCCCCCAAAUACAGUGGCGGUCCCGCCGCAGCUUCCAUUGCGUAGUAGCUAACACCUCGCAACUGGAGAGCGGCGCGGCCACGCCGUAAAACACCCAACUUCUGAAUGUUGACCUGGCAUCAGGUAGGAAUACCCGCUGAACUUAAGC